Molecule: small nucleolar RNA, 69 nt
Filed under: Dasypus novemcinctus (nine-banded armadillo)
Lineage: Eukaryota; Metazoa; Chordata; Mammalia; Cingulata; Dasypodidae
Description: Small nucleolar RNA SNORD18 (ENSDNOG00000027926.1)
Rfam family: Small nucleolar RNA SNORD18
About the family: U18 is a member of the C/D class of snoRNA which contain the C (UGAUGA) and D (CUGA) box motifs.
Source: RNAcentral
UUGUUGUGAUGAGAUUCCACUUAGGUCCGUGUUUCUGAAACACAUGAUUUCUGUGGAAGUUCUGAUUCU